AAGUCGUAACAAGGUCUCCGUAGGUGAACCUGCGGAGGGAUCAUUAACACUGACUGAUUAUGUUGUGUGAUGAAGCGCAAGCUUUUGACUCACUUCACUAAGAUUAUUCUAAUCUAAGCACAACUCUUAGCAACGGAUAUCUUGGUUCUC
This 150-nucleotide unclassified non-coding RNA is filed under the name fungal sp. RNAcentral describes it as "partial internal transcribed spacer region". The stretch from base 1 to 46 matches the Rfam family "Eukaryotic small subunit ribosomal RNA", at positions 1786 to 1831 of the family's 1831-position model. The record is from RNAcentral. Lineage: Eukaryota; Fungi.